GAAGUAGUAACAGAAGAGAUUCCAGAAGAGGCAUGAGCAUCUUAGCUGAGCUGUUUGAACAGGGAGCGCUUUACGAUGUGCUCUUAGAUUUCGGUGAGACCGUUACUGAUCGCGCACGCUCAAACAUUAGAAUACAACAGACGAGAUACGGAAAGAAGCGCAAGGCUAACACUACAGGAACGCUUGCAGCUUCGCUCUACUAUGACAUGGAUGUUACAGGCACUACUCCUUCUAUCAGCUUUAACUCAUCUGCUGACUAUGGUAAGUGGGUUGAAUACGGUAGGCAAGGUAAGGAUAGUAACUAUCCAGGUAUAGAUAAGCGCUUCGCAGCAAGCGCAGCUAAACCUCCUGUGCCUGCUAUACUAACGUGGAUGAAUCUUAAGAAGAUUAAGCUGCGUAGCAUGGGAGAUACCGGUAAGAUGACGAAGUUCGCUAAGAGCUCAGUCAACAAAGAUGAGCAGAAGCGCUUAGCUGUAGCAACUGCUAUGGCUAAAAGCAUUGAAAAGAAAGGUAUAGCUCCUCUCUACUAUUGGAGAGAUGCAUAUCUUGAGACAUUACCUGAAUACGGUCCACAACUGAACGCAGCAAUGGGUGAAGCUGUUAACAUUUAUAUCUUAAAUCAGACGAGAAAAUUAACUAAUAUUAAACCUGCAUAAUGGCAAUUACAAUUCAUCAGCAGCCCUAUCAAUAUACAGCACUUAAGCAGAAGCUUAUGGUAGUGGCUACUUCAACUAACAUAGGGCAGCCUGGAUUUCGCUACGUGGUAGAAGUGAGCGUUAAUGGUGGCACUAUCAAUACUUUUUACGUGCAGCCUAACUUAUCAGGCGCAUUAGUAUUUGACCUAUAUCCUGUGGUAUAUUCAAAGAUGGAUUUAGGAGUAAACAGCUCAGAUGCUGUACCUUCUUUAUUCGCAUCCACAACAGUGCAAGAUGAUGACACUGCUCGCAAUAUUAUGAGCGUAGCUACUAACAUCUAUGAAGGAUAUGAGGUGCUUGGUGUAUUCACUAAACAGGCUACUGCUUACCCAUUAACAGGAGCAGCUUCAUUGAUUAAUGCAGCGUUUCAGAUUAGUGAUGGCUUUAAUCCUGAUCCUGCUACUCACUUUGCAUUAACGUCAGGCACAAGCUACAUAAUGACUGAUUUAGUACGUAGCACUUACGCUAUGGAUGAUGUAUUAAGCCAAUAUUCUUUGGGUGCUAACACAAUAGGUAUAACAGCUUUUGCUGAUGAUUAUGGGGUACUAACUAUUCCUGCGGCGAAGAUGUAACGGGGCUCAAGACGUGCACCGAAGCUUAGGGUGUGUAGCAAUACACGCGGUAGCGGAGCGUUCCGUAAGCCUGUGAAGCGAUCUGGUAAUGGGUCGUGGAGGUAUCGGAAGUGCGAAUGCAGACAUGAGUAGCGAUAAAGAGGGUGAGAUGCCCUCUCGCCGAAAGCCCAAGGGUUCCUGCGCAAGGCUAAUCCGCGCAGGGUGAGUCGGCCCCUAAGACGAGCCCGAAGGGGGUAGUCGAUGGGAAUCAGGUUAAUAUUCCUGAACCUGGUGGUGUGUGACGGAUCUCGUGUGUUGUCAGACCUUAUCGGAUUGGUCUGGCUUCGAAGAGGUUCCAGGAAAUAGCCCCACCGUAUAGACCGUACCCGAAACCGACACAGGUGGUCAGGUAGAGUAUACCAAGGCGCUUGAGAGAAGUAUCCUGAAGGAACUCGGCAAAUUGCCUCCGUACCUUCGGAAGAAGGAGGCCCCACUUCUGCGCAAGCAGUUGUGGGGGGCACAGGCCAGGGGGUAGCGACUGUUUAGCAAAAACACAGGACUCUGCUAAGUCGGCUUCAAGACGACGUAUAGGGUCUGACACCUGCCCGGUGCCGGAAGGUUAAGAGGAGGAGUGCAAGCUCCGAAUUGAAGCCCCGGUAAACGGCGGCCGUAACUAUAACGGUCCUAAGGUAGCGAAAUUCCUUGUCGGGUAAGUUCCGACCUGCACGAAUGGCGUAACGACUUCCCCACUGUCUCCAGGAUAUGCUCAGCGAAAUUGAAUUCUCCGUGAAGAUGCGGAGUACCCGCGGUUAGACGGAAAGACCCCGUGCACCUUUACUGCAGCUUCAGAGUGGCAUUAGGAAGAAAUUGUGUAGAAUAGGUGGGAGGCUUUGAAGCACCGGCGCCAGCUGGUGUGGAGCCAUAAUGUGAAAUACCACCCUGUUUGUUUCUGAUGUCUAACCUCGCGCCGUUAGCCGGCGUAGGGACCCCCCCGGAUAUCGUGACUGGGAAACAGAUCGGAAGAGCGUCGUGUAGGGAAAGAGUGGUCA
RNAcentral lists this ribosomal RNA (2295 nucleotides) under freshwater metagenome. RNAcentral describes it as "bacterial LSU rRNA". The stretch from base 966 to 2295 matches the Rfam family "Bacterial large subunit ribosomal RNA", at positions 1 to 2285 of the family's 2925-position model. The record is from RNAcentral.